Oryctolagus cuniculus (rabbit) is the source of this 1745-nucleotide non-coding RNA. Lineage: Eukaryota; Metazoa; Chordata; Mammalia; Lagomorpha; Leporidae. The record is from RefSeq and is a predicted model, not a curated record.
CUUCAGAUCCACUGGAGCCUGUUGGACUUGAGCCCGGAGAAGCACAUGUUGCUACUGCAGCUGCCUUGGUAACUGGGGGGGCAGGCGGAACAUGGCCUCCCCAUCUUGUACGGUGCCUCGCCCAGCCAGUUGCCCCUGGGGAGAGAACAGAGGCCCAGGGAGCCGCGGUCGGAGGUCAGGAGAGUGAAGUCAGUGACUUUUCACCCAGACGUCCAGGUCUCAGCACGGUACCCACUGGCUGCAUGACUUUGGGCCCCAGGCCCUGUACUCUUCACUGUCCUCACAGGGAGGCGGCCAAGGCCAAAGGCGGCCCCGCGUGGGUGCACCCCGCACCGUGCCAGGCCAACAGGUUACUUCUCUCCCCACCCCCUGAGUCUGCCACCUCCAGCCGGUGACAGGAUCAGCCUCCUCAUUUCUGGGAUGUGAUUUUAGUCCUCUGGAGAAAAUGACCUGACUCCAGUUGCCUGCUAAGGUGCCCCCUGGGAGGCAGCAGGUGAUAGUCCGUAUGCUUGGGUCCCUGCUACCCGCAUGGGAGACCUGGAUUGAGUCCCAGGCUCCUGGCUUCUGCCUGGCCCAGUCCCAGCUCUUGAGGACAUUUGGGGAGUGGACUGGUAGAUGAGGGAUCUCUCGGUUUCUCUCCUUCAAAUAAGAAAAAAAAUAUAACUAUAUAUAGUUACAUAUUCUAUAUAUAGUUACAUAUUCUAUAUAUAGUUACAUAUUCUAUAUAUAGUUAUAUGUUCUAAAACUCAGCGGUGGGUUGUAUGGCAAAUGAAUUCUGUCUUAACAGCUGUCUGUUUUUCUACAGGCAGGCCCUGCUUCCGUGCGAUCGCUGUCCCAUCGAGCUUUUGGGGACUGCCCUUUUCCACGCAGGCAGAGACCGGCAAGCUUGUUCUGUAAAGAAGCAGGUGUAAAUACAAAGAGACUUCAAAAAGCUCAAGGAAAACAGCAUUAAAGGAUAAGUUCAUUUUGAUGAAGACCCAGGCAUGAAGAAGUGGAGUAAAAUCACAAAUCUGAACCCCGGCAGUCUCGCCUUAGAACCUGUUCUUGUCUUCGUGUGAGCUUGCACACUGCAUGUUGGGAGAAUGUUCAUCCGCCUUUCCCCAUAGUUCCAAGAGACUUGUGUCUGAAGCCAGCGCCCGGCCUGUCUCUCAGCAUGCUGCAGUCUGGGGGAAGCUGCUGCGCAGGCUGUCUCUACCCUGCCCCCCUGCCUAGGGGAUCUACCUGCCCGUGGGCAGCUCGCAGUCCUGGUUGAAUAUUUCUGGGAGUAAGUGUGGAGGGGCCGGCCCUGCUCCUGUCAGAAGAACCUGUGGCUGUGCAGCGUGGCCUGCCGCGGGUGUGCAGGGUCUGACUCAACAGUGAGCUACUGGAGGGGGGCUGAGCGUCCAGCACGGUGGUUAGGAUGCGCUUGAGACACCUGCAUCCCAGAUCACACUGCCGGGGUUUGAAACGCACCUCUGCUUCCAAUUCCGGUUUCCUGCUGGUGUGCAACCCGGGAAGGCAGCUGACGAUGGAUCAAGCACUUGCAUCCUUGGCACCCAUUUGGGAGACCUGGAUUGAGUUCCCCAGGUUCCCAGCUUUGGCCUGAUCCAGCCCUGGCUGUUGCUGCCAGUCAGGGGAGUGACAGGGGACAGAAGAUCCCCCCCCCCACACACACACACAAGUCUAGCCCUAGCUCUCUAUUUCCAUCUCUCUCUCUGCCUUUCAAAUAGAAUGACAAAAAAAUAAGUAAAUACAUUUUAAAAGCA